GACGAACGCUGGCGGCGUGCUUAACACAUGCAAGUCGAACGGAAAGGCCCUGCUUUUGUGGGGUGCUCGAGUGGCGAACGGGUGAGUAACACGUGAGUAACCUGCCCUUGACUUUGGGAUAACUUCAGGAAACUGGGGCUAAUACCGGAUAGGAGCUCCUGCUGCAUGGUGGGGGUUGGAAAGUUUCGGCGGUUGGGGAUGGACUCGCGGCUUAUCAGCUUGUUGGUGGGGUAGUGGCUUACCAAGGCUUUGACGGGUAGCCGGCCUGAGAGGGUGACCGGCCACAUUGGGACUGAGAUACGGCCCAGACUCCUACGGGAGGCAGCAGUGGGGAAUAUUGCACAAUGGGCGGAAGCCUGAUGCAGCAACGCCGCGUGCGGGAUGACGGCCUUCGGGUUGUAAACCGCUUUCGCCUGUGACGAAGCGUGAGUGACGGUAAUGGGUAAAGAAGCACCGGCUAACUACGUGCCAGCAGCCGCGGUGAUACGUAGGGUGCGAGCGUUGUCCGGAUUUAUUGGGCGUAAAGGGCUCGUAGGUGGUUGAUCGCGUCGGAAGUGUAAUCUUGGGGCUUAACCCUGAGCGUGCUUUCGAUACGGGUUGACUUGAGGAAGGUAGGGGAGAAUGGAAUUCCUGGUGGAGCGGUGGAAUGCGCAGAUAUCAGGAGGAACACCAGUGGGCGAAGGGGGUUCUCUGGGCCUUUCCUGACGCUGAGGAGCGAAAGCGUGGGGAGCGAACAGGCUUAGACACCCUGGUAGUCCACGCUGUAAACGGUGGGUACUAGGUGUGGGGUCCAUUCCACGGGUUCCGUGCCGUAGCUAACGCUUUAAGUACCCCGCCUGGGGAGUACGGCCGCAAGGCUAAAACUCAAAGGAAUUGACGGGGCCCCGCACAAGCGGCGGAGCAUGCGGAUUAAUUCGAUGCAACGCGUAGAACCUUACCUGGGUUUGACAUGGAUCGGGAGUGCUCAGAGAUGGGUGUGCCUCUUUUGGGGUCGGUUCACAGGUGGUGCAUGCCUGUCGUCAGCUCGUGUCGUGAGAUGUUGGGUUAAGUCCCGCAACGAGCGCAACCCUUGUUCACUGUUGCCAGCACGUUAUGGUGGGGACUCAGUGGAGACCGCCGGGGUCAACUCGGAGGAAGGUGGGGAUGACGUCAAGUCAUCAUGCCCCUUAUGUCCAGGGCUUCACGCAUGCUACAAUGGCUGGUACAGAGAGUGGCGAGCCUGUGAGGGUGAGCGAAUCUCGGAAAGCCGGUCUCAGUUCGGAUUGGGGUCUGCAACUCGACCUCAUGAAGUCGGAGUCGCUAGUAAUCGCAGAUCAGCAACGCUGCGGUGAAUAAAUUCCCGGG
This 1344-nucleotide ribosomal RNA is filed under the name uncultured bacterium. RNAcentral's name for it is "16S ribosomal RNA". It matches the Rfam family "Bacterial small subunit ribosomal RNA", at positions 28 to 1378 of the family's 1533-position model. The record is from RNAcentral.